UACGUAGGGGGCUAGCGUUGUCCGGAUUUAUUGGGCGUAAAGAGCGUGUAGGCGGCCAGGUAGGUCUGCUGUGAAAACUCGAGGCUCAACCUCGAGAUGUCGGCGGAAACCAUCUGGCUAGAGUCCGGAAGAGGAAAGUGGAAUUCCUGGUGUAGCGGUGAAAUGCGCAGAUAUCAGGAAGAACACCCGUGGCGAAGGCGGCUUUCUGGGACGGUACUGACGCUGAGACGCGAAAGCGUGGGGAGCGAACAGGGAUUAGAACCGUACCGACGUA
RNAcentral lists this ribosomal RNA (274 nucleotides) under uncultured bacterium. RNAcentral's name for it is "partial 16S ribosomal RNA". It matches the Rfam family "Bacterial small subunit ribosomal RNA", at positions 524 to 792 of the family's 1533-position model. The record is from RNAcentral.